Rhagoletis pomonella (apple maggot) is the source of this 499-nucleotide long non-coding RNA. RefSeq lists it as uncharacterized. The transcript is spliced from 3 exons. NCBI's taxonomy places the organism in Eukaryota, Metazoa, Arthropoda, Insecta, Diptera, Tephritidae. The record is from RefSeq and is a predicted model, not a curated record.
UAUUGAUAAAUUGAAAGAAGGGCAAGCAAAGUGAGCCUCGAACUUUUAUGGAAAGUUGAAGAUAAGGCACUGUACUUUCCUAUUAAUUCGGUUGAACGCUUAUAAGAAAUUGAAAGCAACAUGGCAGAAAAUGAAAUCAACGAUUAACUCCAUUUUACGGGAAAGUGCUGACAUUAUUCAAAUUUUUCAAUGGGCAUAAAAGGCAAAAAAAGCCACGCAAAUUUCAAUUAUAUUCUGUUCGAUUGCCUUGAAAAAGACGACCCAUUCCACCCAUUGGAAAUUUGCCAAUGAUAUAGAGAUGGCAAUUAAAAUGGCCAAGAUUCGCUGUUACAAGCACGAAUUCGACGAGACGCAGAGAUCCAGCAGCAGUAAACGUUGUUGUAUGUUUUACUUUUUACAUAACUUGAAGAAUGAAUUAACUUAAAUAUUCGUUUUGAUGCUACUUUUGUUUAUAUAUAUAAAAAUAUGAAUAUAUGUGGUUGUAAUGAAUGUAAAAACU